Molecule: long non-coding RNA, 351 nt
Organism: Daphnia carinata
Lineage: Eukaryota; Metazoa; Arthropoda; Branchiopoda; Diplostraca; Daphniidae
Exons: 3
Source: RefSeq, a predicted model, not a curated record
ACUUACAUAGGUCAACAGCUGCAUUUUCGACAUUUUUCCAAGUUUAACAACGUAGUCGAACUGAUGGUUGCAAACUGACUGACGGUCCCUUUAGUUUGCCAGGAAGGUGACGUGAUUUGAACGAUGCGUCAUUCCUGAUUAGAAAUGGUGCAACUAAGACUGUGUUUAAAACUUGUGGAAGGGUGUCGCAUAAACGGGCGUGAAAAUAUUGCAAAAAAAAAUCGUGAACGUGAAAUUAGAAAGAAAAUUCUCAUAUAUACCUGGCGGAGAUCACAUUUCAGCUCCAGAACUAAGCAAGUCGUGAGAAAUAUAAUCCGCAUCACGUAAUGCGAUCACACGAGUUUUGAGAUG